Molecule: ribosomal RNA, 885 nt
Filed under: Aerococcus viridans
Lineage: Bacteria; Bacillati; Bacillota; Bacilli; Lactobacillales; Aerococcaceae
Description: bacterial SSU rRNA
Source: RNAcentral
GCAGUCGAGCGAACAGAUGAAGUGCUUGCACUUCUGACGUUAGCGGCGAACGGGUGAGUAACACGUAAGGAAUCUACCUAUAAGCGGGGGAUAACAUUCGGAAACGGGUGCUAAUACCGCAUAAUAUYUUCUUCCGCAUGGAAGAAGAUUGAAAGACGGCUCUGCUGUCACUUAUAGAUGACCUUGCGGUGCAUUAGUUAGUUGGUGGGGUAAUGGCCUACCAAGACGAUGAUGCAUAGCCGACCUGAGAGGGUGAUCGGCCACAUUGGGACUGAGACACGGCCCAAACUCCUACGGGAGGCAGCAGUAGGGAAUCUUCCGCAAUGGGCGAAAGCCUGACGGAGCAAUGCCGCGUGAGUGAAGAAGGCCUUCGGGUCGUAAAACUCUGUUAUAAGAGAAGAACAAAUUGUAGAGUAACUGCUACAGUCUUGACGGUAUCUUAUCAGAAAGCCACGGCUAACUACGUGCCAGCAGCCGCGGUAAUACGUAGGUGGCAAGCGUUGUCCGGAUUUAUUGGGCGUAAAGGGAGCGCAGGUGGUUUCUUAAGUCUGAUGUGAAAGCCCACGGCUUAACCGUGGAGGGUCAUUGGAAACUGGGAAACUUGAGUACAGAAGAGGAAUGUGGAACUCCAUGUGUAGCGGUGGAAUGCGUAGAUAUAUGGAAGAACACCAGUGGCGAAGGCGACAUUCUGGUCUGUUACUGACACUGAGGCUCGAAAGCGUGGGGAGCAAACAGGAUUAGAUACCCUGGUAGUCCACGCCGUAAACGAUGAGUGCUAGGUGUUGGAGGGUUUCCGCCCUUCAGUGCCGCAGUUAACGCAUUAAGCACUCCGCCUGGGGAGUACGACCGCAAGGUUGAAACUCAAAGGAAUUGACGGGGACCCGC